UAAACGACUCUCGGCAACGGAUAUCUCGGCUCUCGCAUCGAUGAAGAACGUAGCGAAAUGCGAUACUUGGUGUGAAUUGCAGAAUCCCGUGAACCAUCGAGUCUUUGAACGCAAGUUGCGCCCGAAGCCUUGGCCGAAGGCACGCCUGCCUGGGUGUCACACA
RNAcentral lists this ribosomal RNA (163 nucleotides) under Combretum indicum (Rangoon creeper). Its description in RNAcentral is "5.8S ribosomal RNA". It matches the Rfam family "5.8S ribosomal RNA". Rfam says of the family: 5.8S ribosomal RNA (5.8S rRNA) is a component of the large subunit of the eukaryotic ribosome. It is transcribed by RNA polymerase I as part of the 45S precursor that also contains 18S and 28S rRNA. The record is from RNAcentral. Lineage: Eukaryota; Viridiplantae; Streptophyta; Magnoliopsida; Myrtales; Combretaceae. RNAcentral also lists the same sequence under 1 other name.